GAUUGAACGCUGGCGGCAGGCCUAACACAUGCAAGUCGAACGGUAACAGGAAGCAGCUUGCUGCUUYGCUGACGAGUGGCGGACGGGUGAGUAAUGUCUGGGAAACUGCCUGAUGGAGGGGGAUAACUACUGGAAACGGUGGCUAAUACCGCAUAAYGUCGCAAGACCAAAGAGGGGGACCUUCGGGCCUCUUGCCAUCAGAUGUGCCCAGAUGGGAUUAGCUUGUUGGUGAGGUAACGGCUCACCAAGGCGACGAUCCCUAGCUGGUCUGAGAGGAUGACCAGCCACACUGGAACUGAGACACGGUCCAGACUCCUACGGGAGGCAGCAGUGGGGAAUAUUGCACAAUGGGCGCAAGCCUGAUGCAGCCAUGCCGCGUGUAUGAAGAAGGCCUUCGGGUUGUAAAGUACUUUCAGCGGGGAGGAAGGUGUUGUGGUUAAUAACCRCAGCAAUUGACGUUACCCGCAGAAGAAGCACC
This 478-nucleotide ribosomal RNA is filed under the name Salmonella enterica subsp. enterica serovar Give. Its description in RNAcentral is "bacterial SSU rRNA". It matches the Rfam family "Bacterial small subunit ribosomal RNA", at positions 27 to 494 of the family's 1533-position model. The record is from RNAcentral. Lineage: Bacteria; Pseudomonadati; Pseudomonadota; Gammaproteobacteria; Enterobacterales; Enterobacteriaceae.